This is a long non-coding RNA of Hemicordylus capensis (graceful crag lizard), 3436 nucleotides long. RefSeq lists it as uncharacterized. The record is from RefSeq and is a predicted model, not a curated record. Lineage: Eukaryota; Metazoa; Chordata; Lepidosauria; Squamata; Cordylidae. The transcript is spliced from 5 exons.
GGGGCACACUAGCACUGCUUUAAUCAAGAUGAAGAUGGGCAAGGAAUUCCCAGAAUCCUUUCCUCCUCUCAGACUGGAGACUAAAGCAAAAGUAACCCAAGAUCUCAGGAAUAGGAAGAAAGCAUGGGGUGAAGAGAUGGGUCUACUCUGGGAAGAGCAGACACAGCUGAGAAGUUGAGCAAGCCCUUCUAAACAUCUAGCCUUUUCCCCUUCAAACAAACUAACAGGAAGAGACACAGCUGAGAAGCUGAGCAAGCCCUUCUAAACAUCUAGCCUUUUCCACUUCAAACAAACCAAGAGGGGAGUUUAGCAGGGGCUGUUUCUCUCUAAGGGGUAGGUCUUUGUCUCUCUAUCUCUGUGUGUGUUACUUGUUAGGGUUACUUGUUAGGGUUAACAUAUAACAGGGCUAGGAGUUCUUAGGGUUACCUAAAGGCAGUGUUACUUAGUAGUGGGGGUGGAGCCAGCUAGGGCUGGGAGGGGCCCCACAUUCCUUCCUUUGACUCACAUCCUGUGUGACAGUUGGAAGCCUACUCUACAUAAGAGGUGUAGGCCCGAGAGCAUAGCGAGCAGAGCAUAGCCGACAGGGAUAGCAAACAGGACAUAGGAGUUUUGCAGGAGUUUAGUGGGAAGUGUGUGGGGGAGCCUGGAACAAGCCCCCGCGAUCACAAGGAUCACAAGGAGCCUCGUGGAGAAGAGAACAUGAGACAUUUUGUUCUUCAGAUCGAGAGACAGCAGAUACAAUUUAGGAGAUAUGAUUAACUGAAUUCACUACCGCAGAAUUCAUUCUGAGCACAGAGUUAUUCUGGCAUGGUGGAUACCAAAUGAAUGCCACUUUGGCCUAUGAAAAGGAGCGAGGAGUUUUCAAGAUCCUCCCCCAGGAGCAAGGUUAGAGAAGUGUAUCCAGGAGUGACAACGUAGUGUCACCGCUGCCAACAUGGAGCAAGCCGUGCAGUCUGUGAAAUAUUGAGAAGUGUGCAACAAUAGCUUGGGAAGUCUAGAAGCCUCCUUGCGGAGCGGGAUGAUGCCUGAGGAACUCGGUGUAAUCCAGAGGAAGUGCUCAAAUUCAGCGCCGUUGAGUUCAGAUUUUUUACUGUUCCUGAAGGGCAUGGGACCGACUGGUUGGCAUCAUCCAUCGGUGUCAAGGGGGCAGUCUUGUCCAGUACUACUAUGGUCAAAGUGGUAGGUAGAGUAGCCAUUUUGGGUGCGGGGGUGGAGAGGGCCCGCUCCCACAACAAGGCACAGAGCGUGGAAGCCUUAAUUCUGCCUUGCCUGCUUAGUACAUUUUUGGCAAUGGGUGCAGUGUUCCAACAGCUGUGCCUCCCCCAAGCAAAUGGUGGUGGUUGUCAGUCAAGGGAAGUUUAGCCUCACAUCUGAUACAUUUUUUAAAGGAAACUUUUGUCUCCAUACAAGUCUGAAGACAACUGUCUGUAAGGGGCGGAGCAGGUGUCUGCAACAAACAAGACAAAUGGAAAUAAAAACAUGUGAGAAUAGUUGAAUAAACAAGAAAACUGAACGAAAAUAAUAAGGUGGUACGAAAAAACCCAGAUUGCUGUUUGGAAAUAUUAUUCAAUUGGACAUGGUAAUGUGUUGCGUGUGGCGGACAACUAAGAACUGAAAAGGAGGGAAUAGUCUUGCUCUCCUGCAGGAUAGCGGGAAGUAGGGACGUGCAAACAGGUUCAACAUCGAACCGAUUCAGUUCAACUGUUCAGGGUUGAACCGAACCACACCCUGUUCGGUCCAACCCUGGAUCAAAACCUCCAUGAUUCUUUUGUUGUUUCAAAAUUUUCAAAUUUUUAUUUUUUACAUUUACCCCCUCCAUUGGAGUUGUCCGAGGUGGCGGAGGGUGGGCGGGGACAUGGAAGUUCCUCCUCCCCCUGCUAGCCUCCCUUAUUCCAGGGCCAUGCAGAGGCCCAUUGCACAGGCACAGCAGCAUCCAAAAUGGCCACCACACUGAGGAGGGAAGGCAGAAAACCAGCCGAAGAGCGGCCAAUUUCUGGAAUAAGGGAGGCUGGUGGGGGGAGGGGGAACCUCAGUGGACCCUCCCCCUGCCUUGGACAACUCCCCUCAGAGGGGUAAGUGUAAAAAAAAAAUAAAUUAAAACAUUUUUUGUGAAACGUCCCCCUCCGACCAAACCGGGGGGGUGCCAGACUGAACUGGCCUGGUCUGGGUCCAGUUCAGACUCAAACUGAACUAGACCAGCUGGUUCUGUGCACACCCGUAGCGGGAAGGGCUAAUGCCAAAAUACUUUUAGAACCUGGAAUGUUUCCGGUUGGCCUACCACGUGUGCAUGAAGCCCAUUUUGUGUGAGGCACAGUGACUAUUUAGAAGAACUUUGGAAUCUGUUUCUGCUCUAAAGCCAGCAAUGAUAAUUGUCCAAUGGGAACUUCUGGCAUGUAUGGCUUCUCAAAGCCACCAUAAACAGCAGGUGCCUACCCAUUGGGAUGAGCAAGAGAUUCAGUCCUUACCUUUCAAGUGUAUUCUUUACAUCCUGCAUGAGAAGAAAAGGCAAUACAAUUAGUCAGGAUUCAUACAGUCAUAGAGGAGCCCACCCACUAUUAAAACUGUCCUUUCAGACAAUGUAGGAGGUGGGGAAGGAGAUCCCAUUUGUGCUCUAUUAAACCCAAAAAUCGUCACUGUCUUCUCCUUUCUCACCUCGAAAGCACAGCUCACGGUUCAAAACUCCACCAACUUAUCACAAGAGGUCGAAAGUGACUGAACUGGUGGACAUUCCAUCCAAACUAACUCAUCUUCCAACCUGCCACUGUAACAUCCAGAAAUAUUAACCCUAGGCAGCCAUAUAAAGCCAAUGUAGUAGGGGGAUCAGGAUCACCAUAAGCCUACUCUAUUCCCCAGUGGUGUAUCCAAUUUCACCAAAGCCUUUGUUGUACACUGACUAGAGUGUCUGCAUAGGAACAGAACCACCCAGGUUCAAAACCCAUUGAAGCUCACUGGGUGACCUUAGGCUAGUCACUUUGAGUCUAACUUACCUCGCACUGCCAGUCAGUGUAGACAAUACUGAGUGAGAUGGUCUGACUCAGUAUAAGGUAGCAUCCGAUUUUUAAAUCUACAAUUUUCAAGGUGCCAUAGAGGUGUGCACAAAAGAGAGACUCACAUUCUGCAACCAAGGUAGAACUCCUCUUGGCUCCCAGACCUUCUCCCAUCUCAGUAUACUGACAACAAAUGAAGGGGCCAUAGCUCAGCGGCAUACUUUGUAUGCAAAAGGCCCCAGAUUCCAUUCCCAGCAUAUCCCAUUUAAAGGCCUCAGCAAAAGGCAUUUGCCUGAGAUCUUGGAGAGCUGCAGCUAGUCAGUGUAAACAAUGCUGGACUGAUUCAGUAUAAGGCUGCAUCAUAUGGCAUAAGAACAGAUGAACAAUAUAAAUCUCAAGUACCUAAUCAUUUGGCUACCUGAAACCUGGCAUGCCUGCUAGGAAUUCAA